Molecule: ribosomal RNA, 517 nt
Filed under: uncultured bacterium
Lineage: Bacteria
Description: partial 16S ribosomal RNA
Rfam family: Bacterial small subunit ribosomal RNA
Source: RNAcentral
UGGGGAAUAUUGCACAAUGGGCGAAAGCCUGAUGCAGCAACGCCGCGUGAGUGAUGAAGGUCUUCGGAUUGUAAAGCUCUGUCUUUUGGGACGAUAAUGACGGUACCAAAGGAGGAAGCCACGGCUAACUACGUGCCAGCAGCCGCGGUAAUACGUAGGUGGCGAGCGUUGUCCGGAUUUACUGGGCGUAAAGGGUGCGUAGGCGGAUGUUUAAGUGAGAUGUGAAAUACCCGGGCUUAACUUGGGUGCUGCAUUUCAAACUGGAUAUCUAGAGUGCAGGAGAGGAGAAUGGAAUUCCUAGUGUAGCGGUGAAAUGCGUAGAGAUUAGGAAGAACACCAGUGGCGAAGGCGAUUCUCCGGACUGUAACUGACGCUGAGGCACGAAAGCGUGGGUAGCAAACAGGAUUAGAUACCCUGGUAGUCCACGCCGUAAACGAUGAGUACUAGGUGUAGGAGGUAUCGACCCCUUCUGUGCCGCAGUAAACACAUUAAGUACUCCGCCUGGGAAGUACGAUCG